AUUGAACGCUGGCGGCAGGCCUAACACAUGCAAUUCGAGCGAGCGGCGGACGGGUGAGUAAUGUAUGGGGACUGCCCGAUAGAGGGGGAUAACUACUGGAAACGGUGGCUAAUACCGCAUACUAUCGGAUAACCCAUAUGGGAUUAGCUAGUAGGUGGGGUAAAGGCUCACCUAGGCGACGAUCUCUAGCUGGUCUGCGAGGAUGCUCAGCCAUACUGGGACUGAGACACGGCCCAGACUCCAAGGGAGGCAGCAGGGGGGAAUAUUGCACAAGGGGCGCAAGCCUGAUGCAGCAAUGACGCGUGUAUGAAGAAGGCCUUAGGGUUGUAAAGUACUUUAAGCGGGGAGGCGUUAACCGAAGAAGAAGCACAGGCUAACUCUGUGCCAGAAGCAGAGGUAAUAC
RNAcentral lists this ribosomal RNA (403 nucleotides) under uncultured bacterium. RNAcentral describes it as "partial 16S ribosomal RNA". It matches the Rfam family "Bacterial small subunit ribosomal RNA", at positions 30 to 526 of the family's 1533-position model. The record is from RNAcentral.